RNAcentral lists this ribosomal RNA (433 nucleotides) under uncultured bacterium. RNAcentral's name for it is "bacterial SSU rRNA". It matches the Rfam family "Bacterial small subunit ribosomal RNA", at positions 29 to 506 of the family's 1533-position model. The record is from RNAcentral.
GUGAACGCUAGCGGUGCGCCUAACACAUGCAAGUCGCGCGAGGAGCAAUCCUAGCGGCGGACGGCUGCGUAACACGUUGGAACCUACCCCAAACUCAGGGAUAACCUGUCGAAAGACGGGCUAAUACCGGAUGGUCUCGUAAGAGUAAAGCUUCGGCGGUUUGGGAGGGGCCUGCGGCCUAUCAGUUAGUUGGUGAGGUAACGGCUCACCAAGACGAUGACGGGUAGCUGAUCUGAGAGGAUGAUCAGCCAGAAUGGAACUGAGACACGGUCCAUACUCCUACGGGAGGCAGCAGUGAGGAAUCUUCCGCAAUGGGCGAAAGCCUGACGGAGCGACACCGCGUGGUGGAUGAAGGCCUUUUAGGUCGUAAACACCUGUUCUGAGGGACGAAAUUUUUGACGGUACCUCAGGAGAAAGCAUCGGCUAACCCUGU